AGGGAGUCUAGCUUCAAACCCACAUCUGACUGAAUCUAAUUCCACCUACAGCUUUGAAGGCUCAGAAAACAUAACUGCUUGAAAAACUGAGUUAACUCUAUGACUGCCAGGACAAAAGCUUAGAAUUUAGAAAUGAAACAAUGAAUAAGUAGACAUUUUGCUCUCGUUUUGUUAUUUUUUACUUUAUUUUCCAAAUAUGUUUAGGUUAAAGAAAAGAACAUGGGAUUUAGAGUCAAAUAGGCAGGUGUUUUGAUUCUACCCUUGCUAACCCUGUGACCUUUGGACAGCCUACUUUGUCCAGUGGAGGCAGCCAUCCCAUUCCAACUGACAUUUGUGGGAUAUUAGAGACCAAGAAGUGUUAAGAGAUGAUCUUCACAAAAUGCUGAGCUUGUGUGGGUGUGGAACUACAAACAGGAGAAGACGGAUAUUCACAUGCGGUGGUGGAGGGUUAUGGCUCUCCAGCCUGGAGGAUUGGAGCUUGAGCCAGGUGAACAGUGGGUCCAUUAAAGGGGCAGCUCAGUUCAGCAAGUCAGAGCCUGAACAGGAUGAAAGGGGCAACCCACAAAGAUGAGGACUGAAUUGGAGUUACAGAUCCCAGUUGGUUGGAGAGACCAUUUUCC
This 620-nucleotide long non-coding RNA is filed under the name Pan troglodytes (chimpanzee). RNAcentral describes it as "long non-coding RNA NONPTRT004519". Lineage: Eukaryota; Metazoa; Chordata; Mammalia; Primates; Hominidae. The record is from RNAcentral.